UCCAGGCUUCAUUCUUCCCAUCCCGUGAAAGGCUUGUACCAGAAAGCCCACCAGGUGCUUGAUAUUUUGGUGAUACCACAGAUGGCGGUCUCUAGAAGCUGAUUUUACAUGACCAUAAUGUUUGUUAAGGGAACGGUUAGCAUUCUCUUGCAAAAUUGCAAGCCUCGACUUAAACACAGAUGCUCAGUAAAUGUGAUGGGCCCACAGACAUAGGAAAGGUAGUGACUCCAGGUUCUCAUCCGUAGCGAAAAACAAAAAAAUAGGAGGUCUGACUUGAUGGUGCCUGCCAGUGUGAUCAAAGUCCCUCAUCCUUACCGACAAGCUCGGUGGUCCUUCUCUUCUUACCAUUGCAGAUGAUAGUAGUUGAACCAUGGCUAGUUUUGGUAAAAGUAGUCCUUCUAUUCUGCCUUCUUAUUAGUAUCUUUUGAUAAGUUUUGUCUAUUAUACAUUGUAUAUCCCUCAUGUCCAGUGAAUUGACUUCUAUUGCUAGUUGAUCAAAUCCUCUUCUCUCGGCAACUAAAUACUUCACACCCUAGCUAUAGAGGGGCAGUUUUAGCAGAGGAAAGGCGUUGGUUGGCAUCUUCUGAGGGCAAUUAGGGAACUAAUUUCCUGGAAAGUUCCUCAAAGCAGUUCCACACGACAAAGCAGGGCGGCCUUGGCACCACACCGUGUCUGCAUGCAUUUGUUGGGACGUCCGUAUUGGGGCAAAGAUGCAUGCAUUUGCUGCUUCUCAAACUUAACUGUCUGAUAUCUGUCUCACUGUAACUCAGGUUAGAGCUGUUAAAAGGGACUGUGCCAUCCAUGGAGGGCCCGUCCUAACACGAAAUUGGUCGUGUGCCUUAGGAACAACCCAGGCCACAGGCCCCAGUACAACCUGAUGGCUUGAUAAAUAAAAAUUAUAUUCUGAAAAUUUUAUAAUUAUAAAUUAUGUAUGGAGAUAUAUAAUUUAGCAUAUAUAUUGUUUUAGUAUGUUAUUGAGUAAUUUUACACAUUAUAUUUUGUAAGUAAGAUUAUAUUAUUCGAGAUUUA
Diospyros lotus (date-plum) is the source of this 1029-nucleotide long non-coding RNA. RefSeq lists it as uncharacterized. The record is from RefSeq and is a predicted model, not a curated record. The transcript has 3 exons. Lineage: Eukaryota; Viridiplantae; Streptophyta; Magnoliopsida; Ericales; Ebenaceae.